AAGAUGAAAGGAGAGACCCAAUCUUGCUAUGCUGCCCAGGCUAGUCUUGAACCCCUGACCUCAAGCAAUCCUCCUGUCUCAGCCUCCCAAGUCUCUGGGAUUACAGACACUUCCAAUAAGAAGACUGAGCCACCAGGCAGAUGUUAUAAGCAAUGUGAGCUUGUGCUGGAAGAAGAGAGAAUCCACCAGUGUCCUGGGCCCUCCAAGGCCUCUCUGAGGGAAAGACAUUUGGACAGAGAUGCCAAGGACAAGGAAGAGGCAGUCACCCACCUCUGGGCAAGGUGCAAAAGCCCAAGAUUCACGUUCAUGUGUUGCAAGCACAAAAAGAAGAUCCUGUGGCUGGAGUAGAGUGAGGAACAGUGAGAAUGGUAGGAGCAGAGGGCAGAGAAAGUGGCAAAAACAAGGUCGCAUGAGGCCUUGUAAGCCAUGGUCAAGAGGUGAUAUUUUAUUUUAAAUGAAUCCAAAGUAAUUGCAAGUUUUUGAGCAAGUAAGCAAAAUGCUCCUUUGCAAAAAACAAA
This 518-nucleotide long non-coding RNA is filed under the name Homo sapiens (human). RNAcentral's name for it is "non-protein coding lnc-ZNF507-3:3". The record is from RNAcentral. Lineage: Eukaryota; Metazoa; Chordata; Mammalia; Primates; Hominidae.